UAGUCCACGCCGUAAACGAUGAGUGCUAGAUGUCGGGAGGUUACCUCUCGGUGUCGGAGCUAACGCAUUAAGCACUCCGCCUGGGGAGUACGGUCGCAAGAUUAAAACUCAAAGAAAUUGACGGGGGCCCGCACAAGCGGUGGAUCAUGUGGUUUAAUUCGAAGCAACGCGAAGAACCUUACCUGCCCUUGACAUAGUAGUCGCGGUUUUCAGAGAUGAAUUCCUUCAGUUCGGCUGGACUACAUACAGGUGCUGCAUGGCUGUCGUCGGCUCGUGUCGUGAGAUGUUGGGUUAAGUCCCGCAACGAGCGCAACCCUCAUCAUUAGUUACCAUCAGGUUAAGCUGGGGACUCUAAUGAAACUGCCGGUGAUAAACCGGAGGAAGGUGGGGAUGACGUCAAGUCCUCAUGGCCCUUAUGGGGCAGGGGCUACACACGUGAUACAAUGGCAGUGACAAUAGGCAGC
RNAcentral lists this ribosomal RNA (464 nucleotides) under uncultured bacterium. Its description in RNAcentral is "bacterial SSU rRNA". It matches the Rfam family "Bacterial small subunit ribosomal RNA", at positions 791 to 1250 of the family's 1533-position model. The record is from RNAcentral.